RNAcentral lists this long non-coding RNA (1417 nucleotides) under Anas platyrhynchos platyrhynchos (common mallard). RNAcentral describes it as "lncRNA (ENSAPLG00000028785.1)". Lineage: Eukaryota; Metazoa; Chordata; Aves; Anseriformes; Anatidae. The record is from RNAcentral.
GACCUUCAUCCUUCACCCUCCUCCUCCUCUUCGUCCUCCUACUCCUGGUUUACUACUUGUAGAACAACCUGGUGAUCGACACGCCCCGGGUGCGCAAGCAGACGCGCCACUUCAGCACCUUGCGCGACGACGACCUGGUGGAAUUCUCCGACCUGGAGAGCGAGGACGAGGAGCGGCCCCGCUCGCGGCGCCACCACCACCCCCCCCACCACCACCCCCACCACCACCACCACCCCCUCCACCACCCCUACGGCCGCACCGACUGCUUCCGCGUGGAGAAGCACCUCCUGGUCUACGGCUGGGGUCGGUGGAGGGAGAUCCUCUCCCACGGGCGCUUCAAGCGGCGCCUUUCGGAGCGCGACGUGGAGAACAUCUGCCGCGCCAUCCUGGUCUACUGCCUCCUCCACUACCGGGGCGACGAAAACAUCAAGGGCUUCAUUUGGGACCUCAUCAGCCCCAACGAGAACGGCAAGGCCAAGGAGCUCCAAAAUCACUCGGGGCUCUCCAUCCCCGUCCCGCGGGGUCGCAAGGGGAAGAAGGCGAAGGCUCCGAGCGCCUUGGACGUGCAGAAGGCCGAGUGGAUCCGCAAGUGCAACCCCGACGCGCUCUUCCAGGACGAGGGUUACAAGAAGCACCUCAAGCACCAGUGCAACAAGGUGCUGCUGCGGGUGCGGAUGCUCUACUACCUGCGGCAGGAGGUCAUCGGCGACCAGGCGGAGAAGGUGCUGGCGGGGGCCAUGGCCAGCGAGAUCGACAUCUGGUUCCCCUUGGUGGAGCAGCUGGAGGUGCCGACCGCCUGGUGGGACGCCGAGGCCGACAAAUCCCUCCUCAUCGGCGUCUUCAAGCACGGUAGGUCAUCCUCUACAAUUUUUGGGGGCUAAAUCCGGCGUUUUUGGGUCAAGGAGGGUGUUUUUGACGUAUUUUGGGCAGGUUAUGAGAAAUACAACACCAUGCGCGCCGACCCCGCGCUCUGCUUCCUGGAGAAGGCCGGCCGCCCCGACGACAAGGCCAUCGCCGCCGAGCAGCGCCUGGAUAUCGGGGAAGGGUGAGCCCAAAAUCCCCAAAUUUGACCCCAAAACUCAGGCGGUGUCCCCAAGAUCCCAACGGUUUCACCCAAAAUCCAAUGGUGUUCCUAAAAACCCAACGGUGUCCUCAAAAACCCAACGGUGUCCCCAAAACCUCAACAGAUAUCUCAAAGAUGUACCCAAAUCCCCAAAUUUAACCCCAAAACCUCAACUUUGACCCCAAAACCCUGACAGUGUCCCCAAGAUCUCAAUGAUUUCCCCAAAAACCCAACGGUGGUCCUAAAAACCCAAUGAUGUGCUCAAAAACGCAACAGUGUCUUCAAGACCCCAACGAUGUCUCCAAAAACCCAACGAUGUCUUCAAGACCCCAACUUUGACCCCAAAAUCCCCAA